UGAAAUGGGGGCUUAUGUUGAUGGUAGGUACUACUGGGUAGAGAUGAAACAACCCGGAACUGAAGAAUUUAAUAAGUUGAAGGGGAAUGAGUUGAAGAUAAUGUCAUAUGAUUUUGAUACGCAGUUGUUUGGGGAAUUUAAUGUGCCAAAUCAUGUUCCCCGUCUAUUUGGAGUUAUUGCCCCGUUUAAGCUCAUGAGUUUUGAAGGUUCACUCGCUCUUUGUACUUUGGACCCAGAUUGCUACAAUCUAGUGCCUCCCAAGUAUCCUUUUCCUAUAUGGUUGAGGAGGCAACGAAAAGGUGUAGGCUCUUGGGUUCUACUUGCUACAGCUGUGCUCAAACAAUAUGGGCAUCCUUUGAAUAUUACAAAGACUGGAACUCUUAUAGUAGAGUCAUUCCAAUCGCAGCGUCCUGAUGAAACGCACAUAGUCUCUAUUAAUUUUAAGAGCGGGAUUUCUAAAUAUCAUGGAUAUGGUAAGCACGGGGGUCCAGAUGUUUCCCGUGAAGUCCUUGCUCCAUCUACUGUAGACACCUCGUUUCCACAGAGUCUAAUCAUGUACGAGGGAGGCAAAUUACUGUUGAAAUAUGCAAAGUGAGGAAUUGUCAGUCUACUGCUGUUUGAAGAGGUAAUGAAUCAGCCCGACCCCAGCACAGAUCUCCGGAAAUCAUGUACUAAGGCCAAGCAUGAGGUCAGUCGUGGUUGCCCUUAUGACACUCAUAUCCAGAAAUAGGGACUGGGAUGCCAGUUGAUCAGAGAAAAACCGAGAUCUUGUUACCUGAUGUCUUGAGUGUAGCUUAUGACUGGAGUCGUCGUGUUUCCAUUGCUGUUUAAAUGUAUUUCUAUUAGCUUACAAGAAGUAUGCAUAUCUGCCGCUGGGAAUGCUGCUUUCGGUAUAUACAACAAUACUAAACUGUCAUAAACAGAGGCCUUUCCCUGUGAUUUGUGACAGUUCCAGACUUGUAGUACUAAGUGACAGUCAUUGAUCAGUAGACGACGUUCUUUUA
Daucus carota subsp. sativus is the source of this 1004-nucleotide long non-coding RNA. RefSeq lists it as uncharacterized. The record is from RefSeq and is a predicted model, not a curated record. Lineage: Eukaryota; Viridiplantae; Streptophyta; Magnoliopsida; Apiales; Apiaceae. The transcript is spliced from 2 exons.